RNAcentral lists this unclassified non-coding RNA (423 nucleotides) under Hevea brasiliensis (rubber tree). The record is from RNAcentral. Lineage: Eukaryota; Viridiplantae; Streptophyta; Magnoliopsida; Malpighiales; Euphorbiaceae.
GAACAUGACCAAACCAUCUUAAUUAACACUCUCUUAUUUUAUACUUUUAAACAUGACCAAACCAUCCGGGAGAAAAAGGCUGCACACAUAUAAUAUACAGUCACUCUAAAAAUAAGUUAUCUACAACCUUCAUAUUGCAACUGAUCAACAAAUGGAAACUCAACAUGGCUAUAUACCCUGAUCCAGACUUACAAUCCAUCUCAACUCAACAUAUCUGGAAUCCUGAAGGUUGAAUGCUUGAAUCCUUCCAUAUAUGUUAAAUUGAAUUGCACUAGGCACACUAAUCCAUCAAACAGGUCAUUUACAAAGACAUAUGACACAAGGCUCAAUCUACCCUCAGAAUGUUUACAUGGUGAUCUUCAUCUUUUACUCUCUAAUUUCAAAAUUUGAACAUUGUAGCAUCAACAUCAAGGAACAAAAUCA